RNAcentral lists this ribosomal RNA (465 nucleotides) under uncultured bacterium. RNAcentral describes it as "partial 16S ribosomal RNA". It matches the Rfam family "Bacterial small subunit ribosomal RNA", at positions 28 to 507 of the family's 1533-position model. The record is from RNAcentral.
GAUGAACGCUGGCGGCGUGCUUAACACAUGCAAGUCGAACGGAAAGGCCCAAGCUUGCUUGGGUACUCGAGUGGCGAACGGGCGAGUAACACGUGGGUGAUCUGCCCUGCACUUCGGGAUAAGCCUGGGAAACUGGGUCUAAUACCGGAUAGGACCACAUUUUGGAUGGUGUGGUGGAAAGUUUUUCGGUGUGGGAUGAGCUCGCGGCCUAUCAGCUUGUUGGUGGGGUAAUGGCCUACCAAGGCGUCGACGGGUAGCCGGCCUGAGAGGGUGUACGGCCACAUUGGGACUGAGAUACGGCCCAGACUCCUACGGGAGGCAGCAGUGGGGAAUAUCGCACAAUGGGCGCAAGCCUGAUGCAGCGACGCCGCGUGGGGGAUGACGGCCUUCGGGUUGUAAACUCCUUUCGCUAGGGACGAAGCGCAAGUGACGGUACCUGGAGAAGAAGCACCGGCUAACUACGUG